Molecule: long non-coding RNA, 9798 nt
Filed under: Vitis vinifera (wine grape)
Lineage: Eukaryota; Viridiplantae; Streptophyta; Magnoliopsida; Vitales; Vitaceae
Description: long non-coding RNA (VVIN_LNC005827)
Source: RNAcentral
GGUAAUCCACGUAGUUGCCAAAUGGAUGGACGCACGAUCUCAACCAAUAUAGAUUCUUGAUUCAGUCGUUCUACCUGCAAAAGGCAUCCGGACAAGGUGUCCGAACGCACCCUCCGACGGUUUUAUCAGCCAUGGUUAGAGAGAGAUAAAUCAGUUGGCCUUUUACUAGGUAUAGCAAGCUUACCUUCCUCUUUGUGUGAAGGUUCGUAUAUAUAGUAUCAGAAGCUUUGUUCCCCUCUUUAAUGGUGGGGAGAUAUUUUGUGUUGUCAUGAUGACACUAGGUGGUGGUAGGGGCAUCAUCACCCUACGGGCGACUGACAGAGAUCGUGGUAGGUGAUGCGGCUGUUAGAGAUUGUGGUAGGUGAUUGUGGGAAGUGACUUGUUGUCACUUCAUCUUGUCUUUUCACUCUACAGGUGGUGGAACGUGGGCCAUGGCAGGCUGUUGUGAUAACAUGCAAGACUUGCUUACUUCAGUCAAUGAUCUGGACAAACGUAUCUGGAUGGCCUAUGUUGGUCGUCCGGAUGUUAUGCUUAUGCAUGUCGUGUGCCUCUCCUUGAGGUAGUCCGGAUAGGAGAAGCGGGCCACGUGCACUCUUAGGGAAAUCCGGAUGAGAGUGAUCCGGAUGAUAAUGCAUGCCACGUGUCACCAUGAGGUGUGUGGCACGUGUUCUUAGGAGAAGGGGUCCCUACAAUGCCCCCCUUUUUAACUUGCCCAUUUUGCCCGAGCAAAAUGGGCGGGUUAAAAAUAAUUGGUUUUUUUUAAACUGAGUUUAUUUUUUGCACUCAUUGGGCCACGUGGCGAGCGGGGGUGAAGAGAGAGAAAAGCAUUUAUGAUGAGCCGUCGUCUCUGUGUAUUCCCAGGCAGCAUGUCGUUUCAAUGAUAGCGUAGCUGAUCGUUUGGUACACCGAGGGGCUGUCCCCCUAUAAAUAGCAUACUGUGCCUUCUGUUACACUUUUCCUACUGCGUUUUUUCCUAUCAGUGCUGCUUCUCCUUCCUUCUAUGUUCUCUUUUGUUUUCUGAGUGAAGCCCUAGGGUUUCCUGCCGAUGAUUUUUGCGUCUUACCGAUGACUGUACUGCGGAUUUCAACCCUAUUCUUCCAGAUUUACACUUGGUACGUGCAUUGUUCUUGUCUUUUCCUUGUUGCGUUUUGUCUUUGUUGGUUUGUUUCUGGUUUGCUUGGGCAAGUUGCUUGCGACUGUGUGUGUGAAUGUUGGUGUUUUUUGGUUUCUAGGGUUUUUGUUGAGGGUGUUUUGACUGUUGGUACCUCUUUCAUGCAGUUUUUACGAAGCUAAAAAAUGUAUGUGAACCAGGAAGUGACCUCAUCUAGCCCAUGCGGCGCUGCUCAUGCCAAAAGGUCUGUGGACAAAUUGAGUGUGAAGGAGUUCCGCGAGCGAUUUUGCAUUCCCAACGGUGUAUCUGUUGAACUGACCGACGGGGAGGCUGUAUCGACUGAAAACAAUGAAGACCAUGCUAUAUUCUUUAGCAAUGAGCAAUUCAACACCGGCCUCCGGUUCCCCCUUUCGUCGCUGUUCAAGGAGUUCUUGCAUUUCAGCCAAAUUCCCCCGGCAUAUAUUCAUCCAAAUAUGGUCCGGGUGUUGAUGGGGUGCAACAUCCUGAAUAUGCUGUUUAAUUUGGACCUCUCUCUACUGGAGGUGUUGUUCAUCUAUUCGAUCAAGAAGCUGAAAACUGAUAUCUUCAACUUUGUCGCUUGCCUUCCGUCCAUGCAGUUGGUGACCAGUCUGCCGGACUCAACCAAGGGGGCUGCCAAGGGCCAUGUGCUGGUGAAGGGCUUAUGGGCGGGUUUAGGGAUGCAUCUGGACAGGCCUUUUGCUCCCAACCGAUCGUUGAAGGUCCCCGGUAUGGUUAGAUUAUCUUUUUUUUUCCCAUGUUUUGCGAGUUUAGGUCAAUAUUGUUGGGUUGCUGACAUACUUUUGCUUUCUUGGGUGCAGGCCAGAAUAAAAGGGGAAAAUAGGUGGAGUGGGUGGAGAAGGCCUCGUUCAACCAUUUGAACAAGCUCUUCAAGAUUGCGGCAGCCGAGCGGAGUUGCGACACGCUGCUUUCUGCGUAGAACCUCCUCUCGGUCAUGAAGGAGCCUCAGCCAUACGUGCUGAACAUACUCCCGAGACGGCUGCCUAAAGAGGUUGUGGCUGGGGAGCACUUUGUCCUUCAAGAUCUGCCCUUCUACGCGGCGGUGCAGAAGGUAGACGCCCGGACACGCCAAGCCCGCCUAACUGAUCGGGAGGUAAAAAGGAAAGAAAGGCUCUUGCGGAAGGCUCCGGGCGGCAAACGGUCCACGCCUUCUCCUGCUGGCGCUCCAGCAAAGAAGAAGAAGAAGGUUUCCACGAAGGGGAAAGAAGUAAAACUGCCAACUCCCCCGAAGGAGUUUGUAAUCCCUCCUGUUACCUAUGAGAAGGAGGUAAUAAUACAGGAGCCCGAAAAUCCUCUUCCGCCCUCUAUUUCAAGUGGCCUCGGACAUGUCGCGGGUUUGAACCACUCGGGGCCCUCCUUGUCAGUGGCUGCCCGCUUGGCUCUUUUGGCCGAAGAAGUUGCGUCAAUAAAUCAACCCGGCUCUCCCCACCAGGAUGUGGACGUAGCCGAGGCCGUUUGUGCGGAAGUAUCGCCUCUUAUGGCGACCCCAAUGGAGGAAAUGGGGGCAGAAAGCCAGAGUCUGCCUUCAGGCGGGCCAAGCCUUCCUGCCUUUGUACCGGUGAAGGGGUCAGCUUUAAGGAGGUCGAGUUCGGCGUGCAACUUAAAGUCUGGCCUCAUCGAGCGGCUUCAAGAUCGAUUCCAGGAAACCAUCAAAGUUAGUUGCUCAUCCGUCCAGGAUGACCAUCCGGAGAGGAGCGAGACAGAGAUGACAACUGAGACCCCAGCCGUCCCGGUGGUGGUCCCGGAUGAGGGUACGCCCGGAGAGACCCAGCCGGCUAAAAAUGAGGGGGCCCCGGACUUGGAGGAGGAGUCAUCCUCCAACGCCUGAUCAGGGGGGAGUCUUGUUGAUGAUGCGGCUUGCAUCUCUGCUGGCUCUUUUAGCUAUGCAGAGUUGGAAGAGAAGCUGAAAUAGAUUCCAUCCGGCUUGACCGUUGCCAUGCCUUCAGCAAGGAUGUUCGAAGUGGUGGAAACGGUAUAGUGUACUUCUUGAUUUUCUUUGCCAUGCUGAUGUGUUUGUGGUAUGGUUUGUAAUUUCGCUUUUCUUGCUUGUGUGUUUGUCUACAGCUGGUGAGUGGUCUUCGCGGCAUGGCCCAACAACACGAUCUAUUUACUGACCUGCUGCGGAUCGCUAAUUACAUGAAGGCCUUCACCUCUCAGCGCAAAAACAGUGAAAAUCAGCUGCGCUUGAGACUGGAGGAAGCCGAAGCCAGUUUAUCCACCGCUCGAGGGGACAAUGAGGCUCUCCGGGUGGAUUUAGUUGAGGCAAAGAGCCGGGAGGAGUCGAUGGAUGCCCGCUUGCAUGAGGCGGAGGAUGAGGUGGCUCUCUUAAGGGGGGAGGUGAGGCAACUCCGGACGGAGGUAUCCAUUGAAAAGAAGCAGAAGGAAGAUUUGCAGCUGCGCUUAUCAGCACAAAAAGAAGAGCUGGAGGGUGAGUUUGUUGCAGAGAGAGAGGAGCUUGAAGCGGACUACCAGAAGCAAGUAGAUGAUAUGUUCUUCUUCGGCUAUCGCUGCUGUAUGAAGAAACAUGACAUUAAACGGGAUGUCCCUUCAAUUCCUCCGAGUGAAAAGAAGAAGCUGCUUGACAAGCCUGCUCCCUGAUAGCUUUUCUUUUUGUAAUUUUUGCUGCUAUCUUCUUUCUGUAUUUUUGUAGUCCAGAGACCUCUUUGUAUAUACCUUCACAAACAUUAAUAAAACAUUCUUUAUUCUCAUUUGUGCUUGUCUUCUUUCUUUCAUUGAUAAUACUGCUUUAAAUUGGACACAUUCCACGAUCUAAGUAAUGGCGUUCCGUCUAACUUUUGUAGGUGAUAAGCUCCACUUUCACUUGACUUAGAUACUAUAUAGGGUCCUUCCCAGUUGGCUCAAAAUUUUCCUACUCCCGUUUCGACAGUAUUUUCAAAAACUUUCCUAAGGACCAGCGUACCAUUUUUGAAGCUUUUGGGCCUUACUUUGCGAUUGUAAUGAGCGGAUGCCCUUUGCUGAUAGUCUGUCAUCCGGAUGGCUGCGCUUUCCCUUACUUCAUCUGCCCAAUCCAAGUUUCUUCCUAACUCCGUGUUUGCAUCAUCUUGCUUUGCUGUCUCAGUCCGGAUAGUGGGUAACCCUAUUUCGGUAGGAAUGACUGCGUCCAUACCGUAUGCGAGGGCAAAGGGAGUGUUUCCUGUUGGGCGCCCGGGUGUGGUUCGAUAGGCCCAUAGGACGUCGGGUAACUCUUCCACCCAUUUUCCUUUGGCUUGCUCGAGCCUUUUCUUUAAGGCAGUGAUUAAUGUUUUGUUUGUGGCUUCUGCUUGCCCGUUACUUUGAGGAUAACGUGGUGUGGAGUAUGAAUUCUGGAUGUUCAGUUCCGAACAGAAAUUCCGGAAUGCGAUGCUAUCAAAUUAUGGACCGUUGUCGGCUGUAAUGGUUUGAGGGAUUCCAAAGCGGCAGAUGAUGUUUUUCCAUACGAAUUUGGUGACAUCUUUGUCUUUGAUGCUUGCAUAUGCUUCAGCUUCCACCCAUUUACUGAAGUAACCCGUGGCGACAAGUAGGAAUUUCUUCUGAGCAGGUGCGGCCGGGAGGGGUCCCACUAUGUCCAUGCCCCAUUGUGCGAAGGGCCAUGGGCCUGAGAUCGGCUUCAAUGUCUCUGACGACAUAUGUGGAAUGGGAACAUGCCUUUGACAUUUAUCAUAUUUUUUUACAUAGGCUGCGACAUCUUUCUUCAUGGCGGGCCAAUAAUAUCCUUGUGAAUGGGCCCUAUGCGCUAGAGACCGUCCUCCAGAAUGAUUGCCACAUACUUCCUCGUGUAACUCAGAUAACACAUACUAGGCCUCUGAAUGACUUAGGCACCGAAAGUAGGAACCUGUGAAAGAGCGCUUGUACAGGUGCCCCCCAAUCAGAGUGAAACGGGCGGCUUGUACCCAGAUCUUGUGUGUUUGCUUGGGAUCUUCGGGCAAAGUGCCUGUCCGGAGGUAUUCUGUGAUGUUGCUCGUCCAUUCUUGGUUGUCUACUUGGCUUGCCUCAAUGGUGUUGCAAGUGGAGGUUUCUGCGACAGAAGGAUUGGUUUGCACAUGUAUAGGCAACAGAAUAGCUUCUUUGAUAGGGAGGGAGGCAACUAUGCCGGCCAAGGCGUCGACGCGCCCAUUUUCAUUUCGUCUGAUUUUUUCGAUUGUCCACUCGGUGAAUCGUUGUAAGGUGUCCCUUACUUUAGUUAGAUAUCGCGCCAUGCGCGCAUCCUUGGCCUCGUAUUCCUUCUGGAUGUGUCUUACUACGAGUUGCGAAUCGCUAUAGACCCAAAGCUUGGAGACGGAUAGAGCCAGAGCAAGGUCCAAUCUGGAUAAGAUGGCCUCAUAUUCUGCUUCAUUGUUGGAGGCAGGGAACCCCAGCCGGAUGGCUUGCUCCAGGUGUUCCCCUGUUGGGGACUGUAGCAGAAGCCCGACUCUGGACCCUGAUGAUCGUGAGGCUCCAUCAACUCGCAAAGUCCACCACUAUUUUUCACUUGAUUCCUAGCGUUGGCUAGGUUUUCGGGAAUAUUCCAGCACGAAGUCAGCCAUUACUUGGCCUUUCAUGGACAAUCUGGGUUGGAAUUCGAUUCCAAACUCGCUCAAUUCGAUAGCCCAUUGCAGCAUUCUUCCGGUUAAGUCUGGUUUGUGCAGAAUGUUACGAAGGGGUUGGUCGGUCAGCACGACCACCGGGUGGGCUUGGAAAUAGGGGCGGAGCUUUUGGGCAGCGCUUCGAAGGGCUAAGGCUGUUAGCUUCAUUUUUGAAUACCUGGUUUCUACGUCUUCCAAUGCUUUGCUGACGUAGUAGAUAGGUUUCUGCUCCUUAGGUGAGGGGCAACGGAAUAGAACAGCACUGAUUGCCCACUCCGAUACAACCAGAUACAUGUAUAAUUUUUCUUUUGGGAUGGGGUUGCUCAAGAUGGGCGGCUGCAUAAGACAGUGUUUAAUCUUUUCAAAAGCGUUUUGAUAGUUGUCCGUCCAUCCGUUUGUUCCAGCUUUUGGUAUUGCCAAGAAGAAGGGUUGCAAUUCAUCAGUGAAGCGGGCUAUAAAACGCCCUAGCGCGACGAGCUUGCCUGUGAGGCGUUGUAACUCCUUCUUGUUCCUGGGUGGUGGUGUUUCUAUGACUGCCUUGACUUAAUCCGGACUGACCUCUAUGCCUCUUUGGCUGACCAUAAACCCCAAGAAUUUGCCAGCGCUUACACCAAAGGCGCAUUUAGAAGGAUUCAGCUUCAUGCCAUAUUUCCUCAAGAGGUGAAAAACUUCUUGUAAGUGAAGAACAUGCUCAUCUCGGGUUUUGCUUUUAACCACGAUAUCGUCAAUAUAUACCUCUACCGUGUGGCCUAUCAGAGGUUUGAAGAUCUUUGUCAUCAGUCUUUGAUAAGUGGUGCCAGCGUUUUUGAGCCCGAAUGGCGUGACUCUAUAGCAAUAAAGGUCGUGUGGCGUUAUGAAUGCUAUUUUUUCCUCAUCAGCCGGGGACAUGGGGAUCUGAUGAUAUCCGGAGAAGGCAUCCAAGAAAGAGAACAUCCCUUGCCCAGCAGUAGAAUCCACGAUUUGAUCUAUUUGUGGCAAAGGGAAACUGUCUUUUGGACACCCACCAUUUUCCUUCUUUUUUGGGUACCACCACUACGUUUGCUAACCAGUCCGGAUAAUCUACUUCUUUGAUGAAUCCGGCUUCUAGCAAUUUGUCAAUCUUAAUCCGGAUGAUUUUUUGUCUAUCCGGGUGGAAACGUCUAACCUUUUGCCGGAUGGGUCUGGCUGUUGGCAAGACGUUAAGUUUAUGGGAGGUAAUUGUGGGAUCAAUUCCCUUCAUAUCAGAAUGUGUCCAUGCGAAGAUGUCAUAGUUUUGUCUGAGGGCGCCUUGCAUUUUUUGGGUUUCUUCUGGUGCGAGGAGGGAACUGAUAUUCGUAAGGUGAGUACCUUCUUCCGUAAUUUGGAUUGUUUGCAAGGGAUCUGCUGCCAGGGGAUCUUUGUCCACCGGACCCAAUAAUUGCUAUUGGUCAUGCGGAUUACUGGACUCAGGGAGGGAUGCAUCCUCCUGGCUGAUCCCUGUUUCUCGUGCUAUCUGGUAGCAUUGGCGAACGGCUAACUGGCUGCCAUAUAGAUUAACUUGCCCAUCCUUGGUAAGGAAACUUACCAUUUGAUGAUAUGUGGAGGGGAUGACUUUCAUGUAGUGUAGUCAUGUGUGCCCCAAGAUGACAUUGAAGGGCGAUAAAUCUUGUACCACCGAAAAUUGUACGUUGAGAGUGACUGGGCCAGCUUGGACCGUUAGUAUAAUGUCUCCCAAGGACGUAGUUGACGACCCGUUGAAUCCUGACAGGAUUCGUCCAGGGUUUUCGAGGCCUAUGAGACUGUGUCCCGUGCGGCCAACGACCGAUGCUUGCACAAGAUCGGCCGAGCUGCCUGGGUCAACCAGGAUGCGUCUCACAUCGAAGUCUCCUAUCUCUAGGGACAGGAUGAGUACGUUGCAAUGUGGUUGUAGUGUCCGGGUGGGAUCUACUGGUGGGAAAAUGAUUGUCCCAUCUAUGGGGCGAGGGCCUCCUCCAGUUAGUCCAGGCCGGAUGGAAUUAAUGCAUUCGCGUAUUGAUGUGGCUGGCAACAAUUUCUGCCUUUUUCGUCUGGAGUCAUACUCCUCAUCAGAUGGGUCUCCGUUAAUAUAGUUUAUAACGGCCUUGGGGGCGGCUGGGGCCUUGGGGGCUCCAGAGUUGUGAUGUUGGGGAGCGCCCCUACCCUCAACAUCUGUGCGGAGGUACUGCUUUAAAUGUCCUGCUUUGAUGAGCCUCUCGACCAGAUACUGGAGGCACCUGCAUGUCUCUGUUGUGUGACCAUGUUCUUUGUGGAAGACACAUCUCUUGCUAUGAUCUCUUGUGGAUGGGUCCAUUCCGAUGGGUCUAGGCCACUUGAAGUCGAACAAACCCUGGAUCAUCGGGAGAAGUUUCUCAUAUGAUAUGGAAAGAGGUGUGAGAGGCGGCCUUUCCGGGCGACUUGGCCCUUCCUGCCUUCGGUUAGACGGCCUUGGCCGGUCCGAUAGUUUAGCAUUUCUUUCCACGCCACCUCUAGAUGCCUGUCCAGCAACCAAGACUUGCUGGGUGGCCGCCCGUACGUCAUCUUCGAGCAUUGAGUAUUUGUUUGCACGUCUGAACAAGUCGUCCAUCGUUGUAGGAGGCUUUUUAGCUAGUGAUUCGAAAAAUGGUGUGCCUGGACAGAUGCUUCGCUUGAAGAUUUGUAGGACAGCAUCCAUACUGCAAGCCUCUACUUGAAGCACGGCUUGACCAAACCGCUUCACGAACUCCCGUAAGGAUUCGUUAUCCCGCAUUUUUAUGUUUUGCAGAGUGCUGAUGUUCUGCUUGUGUCGAGCGGAACAUAAGUACUGUCCCACGAAAGCUUCGGACAGGUCCCUGAAAUUGUCAAUAGAAUUGGGAGGUAGGCGGUGAAACCAUAAAAGGGCCUGCCCUUGUAGACUGGCGGGGAAUACUUUGCACAGCAGCUCGUCGUUGCCAAUAUCGAGUGUCAUGAGCUGUCGAUAAUGCAUGAUAUGGUCGAAGGGAUCGCUGGACCCAUCGUAUGUGGAAAAUUUUGGUACGAGGAAUCCCCUUGGGAGCUUGUAAUGAAUGAUAUGAGAGCAGAAGGGCGUGGAGAGCAUGUCGUCCAGCCUUUUGCUGAUGGAUCCAAUGGGUGGCUCGUUUGGGAGGUUUCUCCCAGCCUGUUGUACCUCUAGGUGCGAGUGAACGUUCCACACCAUGGAGGUGACCAUAGGGUCACGGUGCGGGAGCACGUUCUGCACCAUGGGGGUGACCACAGGGUCAGGGCGUGCUGCCCAGGUUGUGGCUGCUGGUGGCCUUGGUCUCCCAGGCUCUUAUGGGCCUAGUCUUGCGCGCAUUGAAUUUGACAACUGGGAUUUUCUAUCGCGUAGUCUUUUUGUUAAAAAAUGAGUGGAGUCCGAGCUUUCCUCACGGGGAGCUUGAGGCCUGGGCGUGUGUGGCUCAUGUGGCCUCACGUUGUAUGUUUCUGGGAUAGCUCCCACUGUCCCAGGAUAUAUUGACUCUGGUUCUAGCCUCAAGUUUGCUACCUGGCCUCUCAAAUGCUGACGACGAGGAGGCCCCGAUGUUGAAGCCUGGAUGCGUAGUACCGCGUUUUCUUUUCUUAAUCUUUCUGUCUCCUGGAGGAGAGCUUUCAGUUGUCAUUCGCUUGCCAACUGUCUUCUUUCGAUGGCUUGGCGCCAUUCAGAAUUAUCUUCCUCUCCCCUACCAGAUGAACGGCUUCGGGAAGGUGUGGCCAUAUUUACUGGUGACUGAAUUAGUGAUAUUUUCCCACAGACGACGCCAAUGUUGAGGCCUCGCGUCCCUGGUAAUCCACGUAGUUGCCAAAUGGAUGGACGCACGAUCUCAACCAAUAUAGAUUCUUGAUUCAGUCAUUCUACCUGCAAAAGGCAUCCGUACAAGGUGUCCGGACGCACCCUCCGACGGUUUUAUCAACCAUGGUUAGAGAGAGAUAAAUCAGUUGGCCUUUUACUAGGUAUAGCAAGCUUACCUUCCUCUUUGUGUGAAGGUUCGUAUAUAUAGUAUCAGAAGCUUUGUUCCCCUCUUUAAUGGUGGGGAGAUAUUUUGUGUUGUCAUGAUGACACUAGGUGGUGGCAGGGGCAUCAUCACCCUAUGGGCGGCUGACAGAGAUCGUGGUAGG